GUACCCUACGGGGGGCAGCAGUCGAGAAUCAUUCACAAUGGGGGAAACCCUGAUGGUGCGACGCCGCGUGAGGGAAGACGGUCUUCGGAUUGUAAACCUCUGUCUUUGGGGAAGAAAAUGACGGUACCCAAAGAGGAAGCUCCGGCUAACUACGUGCCAGCAGCCGCGGUAAUACGUAGGGAGCGAGCGUUGUCCGGAAUUACUGGGUGUAAAGGGAGCGUAGGCGGGCGAGAAAGUUGAAUGUUAAAUCUACCGGCUUAACUGGUAGCUGCGUUCAAAACUUCUUGUCUUGAGUGAAGUAGAGG
This 305-nucleotide ribosomal RNA is filed under the name uncultured bacterium. RNAcentral's name for it is "bacterial SSU rRNA". It matches the Rfam family "Bacterial small subunit ribosomal RNA", at positions 334 to 657 of the family's 1533-position model. The record is from RNAcentral.